UACGGAAGGGGCUAGCGUUCUUAGGAAUUACUGGGCGUAAAGAGCGCGUAGGCGGCUUACCAAGUUGGGGGUGAAAUCCCGGAUCUCAACUCCGGAACUGCCUUCAAAACUGGUAGGCUCGAGUCCGGAAGAGGGGCGUGGAAUUCCCAGUGUAGAGGUUAAAUUCGUAGAUAUUGGGAAGUACACCGGUGGCGAAGGCGGCGCCCUGGUCCGGUACUGACGCUGAGGCGCGAAAGCGUGGGGAGCAAGCAGG
Molecule: ribosomal RNA, 253 nt
Filed under: uncultured bacterium
Lineage: Bacteria
Description: partial 16S ribosomal RNA
Rfam family: Bacterial small subunit ribosomal RNA
Source: RNAcentral